This 237-nucleotide long non-coding RNA is filed under the name Felis catus (domestic cat). RNAcentral's name for it is "lncRNA (ENSFCAG00000048786.1)". Lineage: Eukaryota; Metazoa; Chordata; Mammalia; Carnivora; Felidae. The record is from RNAcentral.
UCUAAGGGACUCAGGAGUGAGAAUUGUCAGUGACAAAAACUGCAGUGGCUGCCAACCAGUAAUUUGCACUUCAGGCCACCUUUAUUUCUUGUCCAAAGGGAGAAAAAAGGCCUUGAAGAACCAGGGGAGGAGGGAGAAGAAAGGAAGAGCUAGUGGGAGCCGAAACCAGGUCUAACACAGAACAAAUGGCCAUGCUAAAUCAUACUAAAUAAUUCAGUGCAGCACUUCCAGACGUCU